CGCGAAUUCGCCCUUUAGUAGUUUGAUCCUGGCUCAGAACGUACGCUGGCGGCACGCCUAACACAUGCAAGUCGAACGCAGUAGCAAUACUGAGUGGCAAACGGGUGAGUAUAAUGUGGGAAUCUGCCUUUUGGUUUGGAAUAACACGAGGAAACUUGUGCUAAUACCGGAUAAGCCUUCACAGGGAAAGUUUUAACGCCGAAAGAUGAGCCCGCACUUGAUUAGCUAGUUGGUGAGGUAAAAGCUCACCAAGGCAACGAUCAAUAGCUGUUCUUAGAGGAAGACCAGCCACAUUGGGACUGAGACACGGCCCAGACUCCUACGGGAGGCAGCAGUGGGGAAUCUUGCACAAUGGGGGAAACCCUGAUGCAGCGAUGCCGCGUGAGUGAAGAAGGCCCUUGGGUUGUAAAACUCUUUCGUCGGGGAAGAAAAUGACUGUACCCGAAUAAGAAGGUCCGGCUAACUUCGUGCCAGCAGCCGCGGUAAUACGAAGGGACCUAGCGUAGUUCGGAAUUACUGGGCUUAAAGAGCUCGUAGGUGGUUAAAAAAGUUGAUGGUGAAAUCCCAAGGCUCAACCUUGGAACUGCCCUCAAAACUUUUUAGCUAGAGUGUGAUAGAGGAAAGUGGAAUUUCUAGUGUAGAGGUGAAAUUCGUAGAUAUUAGAAAGAACACCAAAAGCGAAGGCAACUUUCUGGGUCACUACUGACACUGAGGAGCGAAAGCAUGGGUAGCGAAGAGGAUUAGAUACCCUCGUAGUCCAUGCUGUAAACGAUGUGUGCUAGACGUUGGAAAUAUAUUUUUCAGUAUCGCAGCGAAAGCAUUAAGCACACCGCCUGGGGAGUACGACCGCAAGGUUAAAACUCAAAUGAAUUGACGGGGACCCGCACAAGUAGUGGAGCAUGUGGUUUAAUUCGAAGAUACGCGCAGAACCUUACCAACACUUGACAUGUUCGUCGCGACUUUAAGAGAUUAAAGUUUUCGGUUCGGCCGGACGAAACACAGGUGCUGCAUGGCUGUCGUCAGCUCGUGUCGUGAGAUGUUGGGUUAAGUCCCGCAACGAGCGCAACCCUCACUUUUAGUUGCCAUCAUUUAGUUGGGCACUCUGAAAGAACUGCCAGUGAUAAGCUGGAGGAAGGUGGGGAUGACGUCAAGUCCUCAUGGCCCUUACGUGUUGGGCUACACACGUGCUACAAUGAUAUUUACAACAGGAAGCAAAACGGCGACGUUAAGCAAAUCCUUAAAAAAUAUCUCAGUUCGGAUUGCACUCUGCAACUCGAGUGCAUGAAGCUGGAAUUACUAGUAAUCGUGGAUCAGCGUGCCACGGUGAAUGCGUUCCCGGGUCUUGCACACAC
Molecule: ribosomal RNA, 1352 nt
Filed under: uncultured bacterium
Lineage: Bacteria
Description: bacterial SSU rRNA
Rfam family: Bacterial small subunit ribosomal RNA
Source: RNAcentral